AGAUAAUUGUAUGGAAGAGAUACAGUGAUUUUAAGAAACUACACAAAGAACUAUGGCAAAUUCACAAAAACUUAUUCCGACAUUCAGAGUUGUUUCCUCCAUUUGCUAAAGGAAUAGUGUUUGGGCGAUUUGAUGAAACUGUUAUCGAAGAGAGAAGACAAUGUGCUGAAGACCUGCUACAGUUCUCUGCCAAUAUUCCUGCUCUUUACAAUAGUAAACAGCUUGAAGACUUUUUCAAGGGUGGAAUAAUUAAUGAUAGUUCUGAAUUAAUUGGUCCUGCUGAAGCUCACUCAGAUUCCCUCAUUGAUACCUUUCCUGAGUGUAGUACGGAAGAGUUUGAAUUUCAGAGAAGUUUAGCCAUGUGCCGAAGAUAC
This 374-nucleotide long non-coding RNA is filed under the name Homo sapiens (human). Its description in RNAcentral is "HSALNT0021554". The record is from RNAcentral. Lineage: Eukaryota; Metazoa; Chordata; Mammalia; Primates; Hominidae.